CGACGAAGCACAGCAGUAGCAAUACUGUGGGUGGCGAGUGGCGGACGGGUGAGGAACACAUCGGAAUUUGCCCAGUCGUGGGGGAUAACGUAGGGAAACUUACGCUAAUACCGCAUACGACCUAACGGUGAAAGCGGGGGAUCGCAAGACCUCGCGCGGAUGGAUAAGCCGAUGUCGGAUUAGCUAGUUGGCGGGGUAAAGGCCCACCAAGGCGACGAUCCGUAGCUGGUCUGAGAGGAUGAUCAGCCACACUGGGACUGAGACACGGCCCAGACUCCUACGGGAGGCAGCAGUGGGGAAUAUUGGACAAUGGGGGCAACCCUGAUCCAGCAAUGCCGCGUGUGUGAAGAAGGCCUUCGGGUUGUAAAGCACUUUUAUCGGGAACGAAACAUUGUCGGUGAAUAUCCGGCAAGACUGACGGUACCCGAGGAAUAAGCACCGGCUAACUUCGUG
Molecule: ribosomal RNA, 453 nt
Filed under: uncultured bacterium
Lineage: Bacteria
Description: bacterial SSU rRNA
Rfam family: Bacterial small subunit ribosomal RNA
Source: RNAcentral